AGGCUGUAACUGGGAUCGUCUGUUGGCGUAGGGUCAUCCAGAGAGCCAGAUCUUGCCUAGUUGAAUAGUUCUGUCGCUCGUCUCUCACGAGAUUCACCUUGCGUUUUUGCUCAGGGCACCUUUCCUGCUGCACCUUUACAGAAGCGCUUGUUAACGCCGUGUCGGUUAAAAAGGCUUGUGCUGUCGGCGGUGCUAAACCCUUGUUCCGACGCGUGCUUUGGGCUUUGCAGCGAGCCGUGGUGGACUGUGCACGUUCACCAGCCAGCACUCCGAUGAGAAGAGGUAGUAGCUGGGGCUUGGUGGGGCCUGGCCCUUCGCCGCGCUCCCUUCAGAAUUAAGCGGCUUGGGAAGAUAACGGGGCUGAGGAAGGUUUUGUUGUGCCGGUACUGUGCGUGUCGAGUUUGAAGUACUAGUCUUGAAGACAAGUCUUUGAACUCGGGAACCGGUGGGUGGCUUCCUUGUAACCACAUUGUUUUAAAGUGUUAUUUACGUGAUUCCUACGUAAUGCACAUUGAUUGCUAUAUGUAGGCACCCAAGACAAUUUUUAACUAAGCCGUAUAAAUAUAUAGGUAGCUCCACACUUGCGUGCAUGCACAUCAGUGGGUAGGGAAUGUUCUUUUAACAUAGCUAGCUGCAGUGUAUGUGGUGCAUUUCCUAAACGCGCUGAACUGUAGAAUAGUAAGAAGAAAGAGGUACCUGGGCAUAUGGUACAGCCCAUUCUGAAACACUUCAGUAAACAGAAAAUGUUUUUAAGCUCCCGGCUCUGCGCGCGUAGACACGAUCAGUGGUCUCCAUCCAGCUGAGCGGAGUUUGGUGAGAUUGGUGAAGGCCAACUUCAGCUUGUGUCAAAGAUUCCUCUGCGUCUUGUCGCAGUCCAGCUACUUGAGGCAUUUGAGCCUUUUUGCUGACAGGUUUAUAGCUUCCCAGAAACCGAGGCAAGAAUUCGUAUUUGUGAUCGUUGAAUCGGCGCUCUCUGCUUCCUCCAAAAGUGGUUCAUCCGUGAACUUGCACUGAUGCUGUUAAUCUGUUAUAUAUAUAUGAUAAAAAUAUAUUAUUUUAUAUAUAUAUAUUUAUAUAUAUAUAACUGCUGUGGUUCUGCAUGAUGCAUUAAAUUCUCCUCGAUGCAGUGGUGACAGGUGAACACUGCUACUUCUGACAGACUUCACUGCGUGUUGUCCUAACAAAAAGGCUUUGUUAACCUCAGAGUGGAAAGGGUAAUGGGGAAAGAACUUUUUUUUUUUUUUUUUUUUUUAUAAACAAUGUAUGGCUUCGUGUGCUACAAACCUCUAAGAAUGUUUCAGAAACUCAACAAUAAGCAUAAGCUUUUCUGUUAGCUACAGUUUUUCCGUUGAGGAGGAAUGAAGGUAAUGAUGUUUACUACUAAGCUGACACGCAUCUAUUAGGUCUUCAGCUUACUGUCUGUGAGGAUUGCUCACUGCUUUUCUGCGAGGGAAUUGAUGAAACACCACAGUAACUAUACCGCAUGUAUAGUACCUGGACUCUGAAACAGCUCUUACUCCAAGAAGUGAAGGAGCGAGCAGAAUCUGUGUCCUUUAAUACCCUUUAAUAAUAAGGGAGUUGUAUCCCCUUUGCGUUAACAGCUUCAUCAUCAGGGUAAUUUCUUGCAGAACUUAAGCAAAAGGAACAGUGCUAGAGAUGAAGGGGGGUGGGGGUGGGGUUGUACGCUCAAAACCCGGCAGUUACAAAUGAGGUGACAGAGAAAUUAUUCCAAUUUUGAACUCUUUUUACAGUACAAGUAGCCCUUGCUUUCUGUGCAUUCUAUACGCAAGAAUCGCGGCAGCAUUGUAUUUGGCAUUCUCUUUUGCCAGAUGUCUCAUGGAAGAUUUCACAGAAGUGAGAUCUGGGGCCAUGCAAAGUUAGAACUGCAAAAAUCACAUACUCGAGACAGGUAUUUAUGAAGUAAAUGUUCCCUUUUCAUAGCUGGUAGAAGCUCAACAGAGCUGAAAGCUGACAAGUACAAGCAUGUGUGUCUGAAGCAGGAGGACGCGAUUCAGAACAUCUCUUCUGCAGCUCUGUGUGACAAUAAAGAAGGAAAAGCUGGACAAUUUAAUAUAAGAAAAGUUUUUAAAACUCUUUACAAAGAAGUAUGCCAGAAUUAUCUUACUAGUGUAUUAAAAAAAAAAAACUCAAAACCAAUAAAAAUUGCCAGUCUUGGCUGUAGUACUGGAAUUCUGUCAGGGAAUUCGUAAUGUUCCCCAUGCCCUUAAAAUAAAUCUCUAACAAGUCACUAAACUGAGAUUUAGCCAGAACUGGUCACUUUUGCAUUUUCUACAGCAAAUGUUUCACCAACACGUUUGAAUUGAAGACCAAGAUAACACUUUUUUUGUCAAUUACUGGUGGUGUGUUGUUGGCCUAAGACUAGCGUUACUAGUUGGUGUAAGACUAGGUUGCGUUUUUAGCAUCUAAAACUUAAUUAGCUGUACCCAUCUAUUAAUACCUUCUCAUAUUUCUUUAGUCUGAAAGAAGUGACUUGUUUUUUGUAUUUGAGAAGGCAGCGUUCCUGAGCUGCAAUAGGUAGAUCCAGAGUGUUCCUCUAGAGGAGCCUGCCUCUCCAGUGAUUGUCGGGAAAGCCCAGGGAAAUAGCUGCCUCAUUUAGCCAUAUAGUUAAUUAACUAAAACUGAAUGGUACAGGUAGGCCUUUAUCAUAAACAGUUUGGGUCUUCUUUCCCUAAAAUACCCCUUACUCCCACUGCAUCAGCCUUUUAUGAUAGACUGACUUGGUAUCUGUGUUGGGGAAGGGGAAAGAGACCAGCUUCACAGUUACACUUGCAAAUUUCUUGCUUACUAGUCAGAAGAAUAAAUAGAAAUAAAAUUUACGUGAUGUUCUUUGACAUUAGACAGCAGUUACAUAGGCAGCAGUGUAUUGUGUUUCUUAGGCAGGUCAACUUGCGGCUUACUGGUUGACUUACCUGGCAGAGCAGUAAAUGAUGUAAAAUCCAAAGUGAAGACAAGAACCAUAAAGCUUUUGAAUGACAAAAAGACAAAUCUUCAAACCGAGAAGGGUACCGUGAAGAAGCAGUGACAAGAAAAAUGCUAAGGAAUUAAGUAACUUGUGACUUCAAGUGGCACCAUACAAAUCAAGUGCCUCAGAUGCGCAUAAAUUCUGAUCAGUAAUUUUAAAAACGUGAAUUUAAAAGUGUGUUCCAUUGCUAUCGUCGGGGCUAGCUCUCUAGGGUGCAACCCCAUUUGUAACACUGUCUCACAGACUUGUGAGGCAUGGCUUCCCUAUAACUGUCCAUGUUUGCCAAAAAGAUCGUAUUUGUUGACUUAUUUUCUAAUUUUAUUCCUUUCUACAAUCCACGUUUGCUUGUUACUAGCUUGGUCUCUUUAAAAACACCUAAAAAUAGGCCUUACAUUUUUAAUUUUCUACUUCUCUAGUACAAAGCAGCAUUUAUCAUCUAGUACCAAGAACAGUUAUUCUCUAUCCUGCCCUGGAUUGGCAGCACUGAUGUCAGGACUUCUCCCUUGCGUGAGCCUCUGGGAGGCGAGCACAACGAUGUGAGCAUCGCUGUACUGGCCGCUGCAGAGCCUCCACCCAAAAUCCCCGAGGGCAAACACAAGAAACUUAUUUUAUUGCUGUCCCUCCUUUGGUUGCAAGCUAAAAUGGUUUCUCCUCAGAAGCAGCUCAUGAGGUCUCAGUAUCUUUUUUUGUGGUUGCAUCAUACUUCAUCAUACCCACUCACUCCAUCUCUUUUCAGAAGCAUUUUGUGACUCACGUGGCAGGACACAACCCCCCUGUUGCUGCACCGGCCAUGUGUGGUGGUCUGCUGCUGUGACCGAGGUGGCCCAGCACCGACACUUGGGUUCUGAAGCCUUCGGUUCUGGAACUUUCUUGCCACGCUGCUGCACCCAGUCAUCCACACGCUAGGAGUCCUGACGGCGCGCCCUGGGCAGAGUUUGUCGGUAGCUGGGCUCUCUGUAUUGGAUAGAAAGGAUGAACCAUUUUUUAUUGGUGGUGAUGACCUCUAAAAUCAGACACAUAGUACUCCUGGGUAUACACACGUAAAAGCUUGGGGCUUUUUUUUAGCGAUUUCACAGACGUGGGUUAGUGAUUUCAUGUGCACAAGCAGACAGGGUGACUGUUUCUUACAAACGCACGUGCUGCUGCCAUUACAAAGGAGUUGGGUACUUGUAAAGCUAUCUCAGCUGUCCAAAAUUAAACAUCUCCAGAGUCUGUUUGGGCCACUUUGGCUGCUCAGAAACGGGAACGUUUUGCCAACUAAGCUAUCUAAAAGUUAAAGAAAAUUUUCUGAAAUUACAAGUUAAGAGAAAAGCAUACGUAAAAGAGAGCCGAUAUGGUAACGGUUCUCCAAGCUCACAAACGAGUUGCUCAGAUCUUUUAGAUGACACGGCAAAGUGUGUGUUGCCAGCCGAUGCAGUGAAAGUGAAUACCUGCAGCUCUAGGUACGAUUUCAGAUUUGUAUCUUUGAUUCUUACUGGAUCGCUCUCAAAAAAACAACAAGCCAAAACCAUUUGUGGUCUAUGUAUGCAAAAACAAUCAAAGAAAUUGAAUCGUAUUAAGAAUUUGAUGCUUUGAUAUGAGCAAGGAUCAGGCUUUUUAUAUCUUUACAAUUAAGUUAUUUUGUGAAACGUAAGACUAUUCUGUGAAAGAGUGAGGGCACUGACAUUAAUGUCACAUUAGCCACAGAGGUGGGUCAUAGUGAUGUAUGUCAUUCAUAUGAGUGCUUUCAUGGCAAAUUCCAAAAUGACGAGGAUUUUAACGAGCUGAUUUGGAACUUAGUCUUAGAAAAUGAAGAAUGAUGAAAAAAAAGUCAUGAUGUGAUCAGACUCUGAAAUGGCCUAAUAAAAAAUUGUGAGCAACCAGGUAAUUUUUUGAGUGAUAGACACAUACCUGAAACACAAUGUGGGAAAAGCUAAAUUGCUGUAAAACAAAAAGGGGUCACCAGAGUUGCUGAAAGCAGAUGUUCCCUUUAUUUUUAUCUGUGCAUCUCUGUGUGUAAGUUGGGAUCAGUCGGUUUGCCUUUACUGAUCUUGAGAUGAUACGAUAGCUUUGUGCUUUCACGUAGUCAGCGAAGCUGUGAGGCAUAAGGCCAAACAUCAGCUGAAUAUAAAUCAGUAAUUCCAAAUGUCUGGAUAAAAGCAAACUGAGUGGUGUAGUAAACAGAGUAACACAUGAAAUAGUUACUCCGUCCAGCAUGGGCAAAAAGCCUCAGCGGGAGAACUUGGGAACACCUUUUAUGCUUCUAGAAGAAUGUACCCAUUUAGACAGAGAACAUAGACACGUGAACCAGAGAGGUCUAGUAAAUGUAACUUACGUAAAAUACUUGUAGAGAUUAUUGGUUAGCUGUUGGAAAAGUGAAGGGAGAAGGAAAUCUUCAAAUAGGAAAGAAAACAAAGUAGUAAAAUGUGGUCUUUAAAGCUGCAUUUUCAGCCACUUGAUUCUUGAUAAUUUAACGUCUGCCCUUUUGGACUGACACAGCAAAUAACUGUUGCUCUACUUACAGCUAAGAAAUUGGCUAUGAUAAAUGGUGCAAAAGCCUGGAUAGUUUAUCUUCCUGAUAAUAAUUUCUUGCAAAUUCCCAAAACAAAUACAAAAUGGAUCUUCUGACUCAUCUGUUUUACUGUGAAAUACAACUUGCAGUCAGUCUAAAUUGAUUAGAUGAAUGUUCUGUUGCAAAUAAUCUACAUCCUGUUGAAGGGGCUAUUGGACUAUAUGCAAAAGCAAUGCGGAUUUAUUAAUUUAGCAGAAAUCAAACACUUAUUUCAGAAUAAGUGACUUGGAAAUGCUUCAUUACUUCAAGAGGGAUGUAGAGGUGCUGGAGCGUGUCCAGAGAAGGGCGAUGGAGCCGGGGAAGGGGCUGGAGCACAGCUAGUGUGAAGAGCAGCUGAGGGCACUGGGGGUGUUGAGUCUGGAGGAGACUGGGGGGGGGGACACACACCUUACUGCUUUCUACAACUACCUGGAAGGUUGCAGGCAGGUGGGGGUCGGUCUCUUCUCCCAGGUAACAAGUGACAGGACAAGAGGAAACAGCCUCAAGCUAUGCCAGGGGAGAUUUAGAUUGGAUAUUGGGAGAAAUUCCUUUACUGAAGGGUUGGUCAAGCCCUGGCCCAGGCUGCCCGGGGAGGUGGUGGAGUCACCAUCCCUGGAGGGGUUUAAAAACUGCGUAGCCAUGGUGCCUUGGGACGUGGUUUAGGGAUGGACUUGGCAGCCCUGGGUUAACAGGUGGACUUGGUGAUCUCAGAGGUCUUUUCCAACCUAAAUGAUUCUGUGAUAUCUUGUUCUCUAUUGUGCAGUUCUUUGUUUGAAAAAGAAAAUCAACUUUUCUAUUAUCUAUUGUAGUAAAAGAAUCUCUGAUAUAAUAAUAUAGGAAAGAACACCAAUGCAGACAACAGACAAGUGAUUCAAAACAGAUGUGAAAUUCCCUCCAUGUAGAAAAUUAUAGGCACUGGUGAUGACAUUAGAUGCAUAUGACUAAUCACAGUUAAUGCUUGCUGUUGCCAAUUAGCUUUAUUAGCACAAGCAAUUUGAGCACAGGAUGACAUUACUUUAAUUACUGUAAGCAGCUUGUUCAUUUAUUGAGUAGUAUGCAUUUAGAAAAGGGUUAUUCUAUCUGCAAAUUAAUCAUAACCCUUUUAUCAUUAGAAUUCAGGAACACUGAGGAACAAAGACUUUACCAUGCAAAUAGAAAAAAAUGGGUGAUGAAAGUCUGGCAGUAAUUUUAGUAUUUUACUAUUUUAUUUUUUGAUAAAAAAAGACAAAAGCUAUUGUAUGAUUCCUGUCUGAAAGCUGUACAUGAGUGAGACAAAAUUGCUACCAUUAGAGUUCAGGCGCAAGACAUUAUGACCAUUAGGUGGUAGCAAUGCAAAAAAAAAGUAAUCUUGUGAAGGUGUACAGUAAAAAGAAGGCUAAAGGUAUCUAGAAAAAUCAACAACCCACACUCCAAGCUGCACAGGAAACAGAACUUAUUUUUCCUUCUUUAUCAUAUGAAGAUAUGUUUGUUGGUCUGUGGCACAGGUAUCAGUUUUUCACACAAAUUCACAUAUGAGAAUACAAUCUUCGAAGAGUUAAAUACGCAUAAUUUCAUUAGCAAAAUGCAGAAAGAGUCAUUGUGCCAGUAUGUUUACUCAGAAUGCUAUAGCAAAUGAAACAAGCUGCAACUGUGAGCUUAUUUCAUUUGCACCACCAUGCUGGCUCACAAAACUAUUGCUGCAGAAAUGUCAGAUUCAUGUUGAUGUUUUGGAAACAAGAAUUCAAAAUAAGGUUUUCUUUUCUUUGUGGGUUUCUCCUAAGUCUUUGUUACAUACCAGAAAUUGUUAGUUCAUAAUUCAAAAGAUCAAACUUAUUUUUUCUAUAUUUUAAGUCUGUAGAUAAUUUGGGCUUGAAUCAGGCAUCGUAUUCUCCUGAUAUAUUUUACAAUAGCUAUUUGCAAUUUUUCUUUUCAGCCAUCUGUUGCAAAUCUUGUUUUGAACAAGAUAUCCACUGUUCAAAACUGAAUGUUUGUCUUUAUAAAAAAGUGACAGUCUUUAGCAGUUGUUGACUUCUGCGCUAUUGUUAUUCUUCUCUUUUGUUCAUCCAGAAUUCCUGUAGAAGCCACAGUGCUAGAAAAAGUAGCCCGUCUGUGGCUUGUCUUACGUGGGCUCCUGUGGCAAGGCUGUGGACUCUGCUGUACGCAGGCUUUUAGGGAGUGUGAAUCCCUGCUGUGGGGUAAAAAUAGUUCGUAAAGGCCAGCAAGGCUGGUAACGCUGGCUUGCCCUUGGCAGCACAACCAGCUAAGGCUGCUGAGACGCUGGACAAAGUUGCACAGAGAUGUGGAAGUGUCAGGUUGGACAGAGGAAGGUGUCCCUGCCCGGGGCAGGGGUGGUUGGAGCUAGGUGUUCUUGAAAGGUCCUCUCGAACCCAAACCACUCUGUGAUUUGAUGAAUCAAAGGUUCAUCCCUGUCUCCUUUUGCAUGUAAGCUGUUUCUGGAAGUCUCCUUCUCCUUAAGGUAAUACACGUGCCUUGCAGGCGUCUAAGCAACUUCAAUGUUAAAUGAUUUUACUAAGCACAAUGUUGGCUAAGGCAGGUUGGGUGACUUAACGCUUCGGUUUCCCUGUUGCCUGCGGCCACGAACGUUCCGUGAACUGUCCUUAAAAUGAAGGCAUACACAGGCCACACCACCGUUGUGUGCUGCAUCAGCUGUGUUCAGUGUCCUGUCUCCAUCUUGCAGUCCCAGGACAUCUGCAGCUGGCUUCUGACAAAACUGGGUUUGCCAGCCUAAGUUUCUUUUCAGUAGCGUAGACGGCUUGCUUAUACUGGGAUGAGAGUUUAACUCUCCUGAUGUACCUCUGUCCACAGAAGAAGAAUUUUGCUGGUAGAGCAUACUGGUAGUGUGUACUGCUGCCCUUUGCUGUAAGCCGUUACACUAAGCAGGCUGAUCAAUCAUCGCCCGAAGGAUCUAGCCUUCAAGCCUACCUUUGACAACAGUCAUCAAUGACAGAACAUGAAUUGUUUAAAAUACACUUAAUUUUUUUCAAACUUACCAUAGUUGAAAAAUAUCUUCUUUCUCCAUAAUCUUAGUAUCAUUUUCCAUGUGUGAUUCAAUUCAAGUCUGCAGCGUGCACAAACUCCUAUAAAGUAUCUCCCUGAAAAACAACAAACCCUUAAUUCUCUUCUAGCUUUACAACCAUUUUCUACUUCCCUGGAUGCAUUCAGCAUUCAAAAGCUUUGUAAAUACAGAGGUUGCAUCCGAGUUCUUUGGGCAGCAUGCUCUGCACUUCCAGAACGCCAAAGGUGUCGAUACUGAAACUGCUGAAGGCAGGGGGGCAGUAGGUUUGAAGCGUGCAGGCUUCAUGGCAAGCACCUUAGUAGCCCCAGCAUCUGAAUCAACCGAAGAAGAUACACUUCAAGUAGAAUUCAGAUAUGCUGCCCCAAAAUAAACACAAUAAAAGAAUUUAAAUUAUUAAAUGGCUGUAUGAAUGUUCAGCUUUGUGAUGUUUUUGAUCUCAUACUGUAUUUUGUUUGUUGUCUUCUUGGCAUGGAAUGAACUUUUUUUCUUCUUUCUGGAGCAACAGUUGUCCAUGGCAGACUGUCACAGCUUAUUCCCCGGAUGACGACAGUUCUGUUCAGAAUGGAGCUCCCUUCUGACUCCUGUGCUGACGGUGAUGCUGCGGAGCUCUCUAGCAAUACACACACACGUAUGAAAGGGCAGAGGGUCUGCAUUUACGACUUUCAAGGACUAGAAUAAGGUAAGACAUUUUGAUUAGCACAUGCCAGACGGGGAAGCAAGGCUCUAUUUUUAUGCAUGUGUGCGUAUCUUUACCCGGUAGUGGAGGCAGUCCUUUUGGCUACCCACGCUAUUUCCUCUGUUUGUUAAAUUGUAACACAAGGGUCAUGCCAGAUUCUUCAGCUACUGGUAUCAAUUCUUUUUACAAAGAUUUAUUCAUGCUACCCAGGACAUAUAGAGAAAAAUAAACUGGAAACAGUGUAAUUACCCCUAUUGUCAUCAUGCUAGCAAAAUCUGCCUUAACACAAGUGUUUACUACAGAAACGUUGAUGAAAGUGCUUGUUUUCUUCUUGAAGUGCUAAAUGCACACAGUUUACUUUUUCAAGACAGUAGAUAUCUAAUGAAAAACAGGCAUAAGCAUUUUAACAGUCUAUAAUGUUUCUUUGUUUUUUCAGUAUAUACAAAGCUUAUUUGAUAAAUAUUAUUCAAUUAUACAAGAAAACUAGUAAACUAGCUGUCUGCCAGGCAUAUUUCUGCUUUUUUUCUGGCUUAUUUAAUUUGCUUUAUUUGAUUAUUUAGGGAAAAUGGAGCCUGUAAAUUUUCAGUAAUAAUUGAACUGCUGUGGUGUAAGAAAGAAAGAGAAAGAAGGAAUAAACACAGAGAGAAGUAUCUCACCACUGAAUUAAUCUGAAGGAAAACUACCGAUUUGUUUUACCUCAGCAUUUGUACAUUUAGAGGAUUAAAAUUUCAGAUGAAGGAUGAUUUUUUUGUAUUCUAUAUAAAAAGAAAAAAGUACAAUGAGGUACUAGUUAAAAAGUACAGGCAGAAGUUAAAAGAAAGUAAGAGAACAUACUUACAUGAACAUAGGAAAUUCAGUCUGGACUGAUCUAUAGACUUAAUGCAAGUAUUACAGAUCUUUAAUGCUGAAGAUUUUGCAAGUAGAUUAGAAAAAAAGAUAACAUUAGCAAUUGCAUCGUGUAUGAUACCUUUAGUAUCACAUAUAUACGCAUAUAGUGUAGUUUUCAACCACACAUGAGAAAAUACGCAUACUUAGGUGUAUCAUAAUAGAUCUAAAAAAGGUAAAUGCAGGAAACGUUUGCAACAUGCAGCUAUUAAAACCAAGGAAGGGCAUAAUAAGGAUUUCCUUCAGUUUCUUGUAUGCCUCUGAAUUAUCCGUACUGUCAGUUGGUUUGAUAACUAAGCCGAUAAUGUUAAAAGCUGAAUGAAUAUUCACUGUAUAUCUGACUGGAUCAGUAGGACUUAAUUGCUGCUUGUAAGUGACAGCAGUGACCACCCUUCCCAAAGAAGGAAAUGGGGUGCUCUCAUUAAAAAUAUCCCUUAAAACAACCUGAGUCUGCUUCCUUGGGUUUUGCUUUGUGGAAUCUUCUCAUACUGAAGCAAGGAUUGAUUGGCAAGAAAACAACAUUUCUCAGAACAAAAUACUACAUAGGAAAUCUUUUUGUCUUAAACAAUUAGUUGGAUUAGUGUUGUAAGUACAAGAAACUGUAAAUACUCUGUGUUGAAGAGAAGGACAGAUGGACUCCAGUGAGGAAAGUUUAGAGAACAGAUUGGGGAAGAGCUAGAAACAUAACUUCUUCCCAUUAAAUGUAUCAUUAGCAAAGGUUUAAACUAUACCUCCUGCAAUUUUAUUAGUAAUGAUAAGCAAACUAAAAUAAUGAUAGAAACUAAUAGAUCUAAAAUGGAGAGAUCAUGUAGUUGAAGUGCUACUCUUCUGGAGUAUUAAGUGUACCUGCAUUAUUCCUGGCAUGUUCACUGAACCCAUUCUCUAGAGAAGCCGCCACAUUAAUCCUCUACCAUUGUAUUUCUUAUUACAUUCUUUUUCUAACCAUAUAGUUAGAAAGUUUUUCCGAACAACUAACCUCAACACAUUUUCUUGCAUAUUAAUCCAGCUCUAUCUUCUUCUACCCUCAUUAGGUAUGGAUAACAACUGAUCACCAUUUUCUAACUUUUUUUAUUGUUUGACAAAUUGUCAUCACGGCUGGAAUUAUUUGCCAGUAAUGUAGGUCCCUACAGGUGAGCUACAUGUUAAAGGUUCUGUAACAAUCAAUGGACAGGUAGCCAAAAGAGUCACUGGAAUCUAGACCGCCACUCAACUAACAACAUGUAGGUACUUAAUUAUCUAAAGUGGAGUCAUUCUUGACCAUAUCGAUUCCCUCUCCACCGACUAUCACGGGAGCUUGACACCUUACACAUAACUUGCUAGAGCCAAGAAGCUGAAUCCCAUCCCAUGUGUCCCUCUUCUUCAUUCUCAAGCUUUUUCUUGUGGGGUGGGGAUUACCUCAACCCUGUAUUUAUUUUCUGUAAAUAGGAAACCUGGGGGCCAAGAAGCACUGCUAAGGAACCGAAAGGAGUUUGGUAGGAAGUAGCGCCCCUCCACAGCCGUGCACACCUGCCAGAGAGAAUGCUGUUCUCUGCCCGCCCCGAUUUAUUUCCAUUUUGCCAGGACUAUUGAGGGAUUCUUGGGGAUUUUUUUCAUUUGCUUGUUUUUAAAGCUAGUAUUUCAGCAGGUUGUGUGAGCCCUCUCUGCACCUUAAUGGCCUUUCAUUUGUGGUUUUAGCUUGCCAAGAAACCUUCAGCCUUCUCUUAUUGCCCCAAAAUGCAAAUAGCCUGGCUAUUUGCAUAUUCUAAAUCCCAGUCUAAAUUAAGAGCAUGAACUCCCUCUGUAGACAGUGGAAACAACAGGCAGUUUACAGGGCAAAAAAUCUGCACACAAACAGCAUGUAAACUGUUUUUGUUAUACUGAAUUCAUAAAUACUCGUUUUCCAGCAAUACACCACCAUUGCACAGGCAUCUUAUUUAGCUUAUCUUGUGCAUGACGUCAUCGGCAUUUUUGUUCUGCAAAGCUGUGGAAAAGGUCAGAUACAGCACAGACAUACCGACUUUUCUCCCCCUUAUUCCAACGAAAAUACUAAAACACAUUAACGAAAGAUUUUCAAAUAAAAAAAAUGCCAAUACACCCACAUUUGUAUGUCAGAAAAUAUUGAUGGAAAGUAGGAUCUUGAGAGAUGUUAAGCACUUCUAAUUCCACUGAGAAUCAGAAAUGUUGUGAAUGUUCAGCACACAUCAGGAUCUCGCUAUAUAUCCGUCCAAAUACAACAGAAGUUUUGCCUUCAUAUGAAUCACAGGUGUGAGCAAAGAUAACUUUAAUUUUUAGCUUCACGCAAUCUCUUCCAAACUGUAUGUCUCAACAUGUCAUAACAUUCUUGUUUUCUAUCAGAGCUGAAAUUCCACAUUGGAAAGCUGGACCACUGAGAAUUGUUUUUAGCCUGAGAUCAAAUUAUUUUGGUCUUGGAGGGGGUUUUUUUUGCUUGUUUUGGUUUUUGGAAUGUUGGGGUUUUUUUUCUUGGGGAGAACAACUUCUGCCUCAUAGUUACUACUAGUGUAUUCUUAUCACCAGGGCAUCAGGUGAAAAAGACUUCUAGAGAAGAACAAAAGAAAGGUUUUUCCCUAUUUAUUCUUCUGUUGGGAAGAUGUGGGAGAAAGUCUGUUCAGCUAGCACUGCCCGUCUGCCUUGCAAGAGAUCAAAUGUGCUCAAGCCAUUCCAUUUCUGGAAUACAGUGCAAAACACCACAUUUUCCCUAACCUGUUUUCAAAUUACAGUGAGCCUGUAAGAUGGAAUGGGUUAUUUCUUAUCAAAGCAGAAAAAGACUAAUUGGGUGCAUUUACAGUAGGAUAAUGAAGGCUGUGUAAUAUCAUCCUCUUAAUGCCAUUUUGUGUUUUAACAAAAUAAAAACCAGUAACAGCAAAGAUACAAAAUUGUAUUUUGUAACCGAGUAUCUAUCUUUUAACAUUCCGCCUAAUUGUCUUAUACUUUAAUGAACUUAAUAUAAAAAUAUUUUUGGAAAGUAUUUGAUGUAAGUAUUAUUCUGUAGCUCCUUUCUGCAUUACUACGGAUGUAUUUUAUGUCUGAAAUGCCUACUUGUGAGGCUUUUUGUGUUACAAUAUUGCAACAUACUUGUUAAUGAAGCAAUUGGCAUUGUGUCCCGUUAAAAAAUAAAAGCCAUGAAAGCACUGACCUCUUUUCCUACGGGUCCCCUUAUUUUAGUACACAUAAUUUGAUGACUCACUUAUUGUAAUUUAGAAAUAAGAUUUUAAGUGGAUAAUAGAACAUAGAACAGCCCAGGUUGGAAGGGACCUUCAAAAAUCAUCUGGUUCAACCUGUUAUCUAGCACCCCGUCCACUCGAGACUUCAAAACCUCAGUGAUGGGGACUCCACUAAGUCCCUGGGAGACUGACGGUUUCACUGCCGAAUAUUUCUUUUAUCAAGAUGAAACCUCUCCCAGUGCAGCUUGUACCCUUUGCCCCUUGUCCUCUCCACGUGGCUCCUUGUGAAGAGACAGCCUCCACCCUCUUUGUAGCUGCCUUUUAGGUACUGGAAAGCUGUGAUGAGAUCCCCCCGAGCCUUCUCUUCUCCAGGGUGAAAAGACCUAACUCCUUCAGUCCCUCCUCACAGAACAGGUUCUCCAGCUCUUCGAUCCUCUUUGUGGCCCUCCUUUGGACCCUCUCCAGCCUGUGUCUUUUUUGAAUUGCACAGACUAGGACUGGGCACAGUACUCCAGGUGUGACCUGACAAACGCUGGCUAGACCAGGAUGAUCACAACUCUGUUUCUGCUAGUAGAAUGCAUCUGUAGUAGAUGCAUCUGUGUAGAGCUAUUAACACAUGUACCCUCAGUAAUAAAAAUAAGAAACAAUAUAAUAGGCAUCAUUUCACACUAGGCAGGAGGUUGAGGCAAAAUACUUCAGAUCUCUGUUGCCUAUAAAUAAGAAAAGCUUCUCAGCUUUUGGCAACGUUAGAAGUUGCUCACCAGGAGACAGGUAACUGUCAUCAGCAGCUCCUCACAUCAUUUCUCAUCAGUGGGUAAGCAGUAAUUCCUCCUGAGAUCUUGCAGGAGCAGAAACAGCUCCCUUGCAUUUGGUAGGUGUGAGCUUCCACUGAGCUGACCGUUCAAAAGAGGAGGUAAUUGGUGACUUAGGAAUUAAAUGGAAACAUAAGCCAAGAACCAACCUCCUUCAGGCAAGCAUCAGAACUUGGGAAAAGAGCCUCUGCAUUUACAAGUCCUGGACCUGCCCUCUGAGUCAGAGGUUCCCAGCUGUGCAGGACUCUGCCAGAGUUGCUGCUUCCCAAAAAGCUGAGCUCUAACCUCAUCAGGAGCUGAAAGCCAAGCUCUGUUGCCUCUUACAGAGCUGAGGUACGUAUUUGCUUCUGAGAGAGGCGGCGGCUGCAAAGCCAUCCUCCUCCUUGGCCCACGGAAAAUAUUGCUGGAGCCGUGGGUCUCCUGGAAUUUCAAUGAGGCUUUGGCGUGUAGCCACUCUGCCCGAAGAGCCGUGGACUGGGGAGGCGUAAG
This is a long non-coding RNA of Falco peregrinus (peregrine falcon), 14552 nucleotides long. RefSeq lists it as uncharacterized. The transcript is spliced from 3 exons. NCBI's taxonomy places the organism in Eukaryota, Metazoa, Chordata, Aves, Falconiformes, Falconidae. The record is from RefSeq and is a predicted model, not a curated record.